Molecule: long non-coding RNA, 421 nt
Filed under: Malus domestica (apple)
Lineage: Eukaryota; Viridiplantae; Streptophyta; Magnoliopsida; Rosales; Rosaceae
Description: long non-coding RNA (MDOM_LNC009904)
Source: RNAcentral
CCAUGCAUUUUUUUAUGCAUUCCUUGGGCUGGUUUUGAAUGUUUUUGUUUGGGGGACAUUUGUGUCUCAUUGUUUUUGUGAAGCCGUGAUACCAAAAUGGAUUGCUGGCUUUAUAUAUAGAGACGAAGAAGUUUGUUGUGCUACCUAGUAAAUAUGCCACAUAUUUUCAAUCCCUAUUAUUAAUCAAGGAUAUAUGUGCAUGGGUAUUUUAGUCAUAUUUUGUAUAAGUUAGCUAGGUAUAUCCUUGAUUAAUACCUAUUCCAUAGUGUUUAGACCAACUAUUAAGUUUGAGGAGGAACCAGUUGUUUGAUCGAGAAAGAAUGAAUAGUUUAUAGCAAAAUGUGACUUAUUCAGGUGGGUAUUCUUACUGAGCCGUUAAUGAUUUUGGUAAGAACCGACAUCAUCGACGACUAGGAGUGUG